AUCCCAUGGUGAGGACAAGCUCUUGUAUACCAUUUCAUAUGCUCUCAUGCAUCAUACAAACUCUCUUCUUCGCCUUGCUCAAAUCUAGUUAUAUUGUUCCUUAUCUU
Non-coding RNA from Arabis alpina (gray rockcress), 107 nucleotides. NCBI's taxonomy places the organism in Eukaryota, Viridiplantae, Streptophyta, Magnoliopsida, Brassicales, Brassicaceae. The record is from Rfam.